CAAUAGCGUAUAUUAAAGUUGUUGCAGUUAAAAAGCUCGUAGUUGGAUUUCUGGAUGGAGCGACCGGUCGGGCAUUAAUUUGUCUGCACUGGAGUCGGUUCCGUCCAUCCUCUUGGAAAGUGCGUCGGGCAUUAAGUUGUUUGGCGUAUGAUCCAAGUCGUUUACUGUGAAAAAAUUAGAGUGUUUAAAGCAGGCCUUCGCCUUGAAUACAUUAGCAUGGAAUAAUAAGUUAGGACUUUGGUCUAUUUUGUUGGUUUGCAGACCGAAGUAAUGAUUAAUAGGGAUAGUUGGGGGUAUUUAUAUUCCGAUGUCAGAGGUGAAAUUCUUAGAUUUUCGGAAGAUAAACUUAUGCGAAAGCAUUUACCAAGGAUGUUUUCAUUAA
This 382-nucleotide ribosomal RNA is filed under the name uncultured eukaryote. RNAcentral describes it as "partial 18S ribosomal RNA". It matches the Rfam family "Eukaryotic small subunit ribosomal RNA", at positions 592 to 976 of the family's 1831-position model. The record is from RNAcentral.